Molecule: ribosomal RNA, 497 nt
Filed under: uncultured bacterium
Lineage: Bacteria
Description: partial 16S ribosomal RNA
Rfam family: Bacterial small subunit ribosomal RNA
Source: RNAcentral
GAUGAACGCUGGCGGCGUGCCUAAUACAUGCAAGUAGAGCGAACAGACGAGGAGUUUGUUCCUCUGACGUUAUCCGCGCACGUGAGUGAAACACGUGGAUCCUCCCCCUAUACGACUGGGAACUCUUCGGGACGCUGGCGCUUACACCAGAUAAUAUGUUGAUCCAUAUGAUUCACUAGUGAAAUGCGGUUUUACCAUUACUUAUUGGUGGUUCGGCGCCGCAUUAGCUAGUUGGUAGGGUAACGGCUUACCACGGCAACGAUGCGUCGCCGACCUGGGGGGGUGUUCGGCCAAACGGGAACGGGGACACGGCCCAGACUCCUCCGGGAGGCAGCAGUAGGGAAUCUUCCGCAAUGGGCGAAAUCUGGACGGAGCAACGCCGCGUGGUGGAUAAAGUUCUUCGGUCGUAAAGAUUCUGUUAUUGGGGAAGAACAAUUGGGGAAGUAACUAUUCACGUCUUGACGGUACCUAAUCAGAAAGACACGGCUAACUACGUG